Molecule: ribosomal RNA, 497 nt
Filed under: uncultured bacterium
Lineage: Bacteria
Description: partial 16S ribosomal RNA
Rfam family: Bacterial small subunit ribosomal RNA
Source: RNAcentral
GAUGAACGCUGGCGGCGUGCCUAAUACAUGCAAGUCGAGCGAACAGACGAGGAGCUUGCUCCUCUGACGUUAGCGGCGGACGGGUGAGUAACACGUGGAUAACCUACCUAUAAGACUGGGAUAACUUCGGGAAACCGGAGCUAAUACCGGAUAAUAUAUUGAACCGCAUGGUUCAAUAGUGAAAGACGGGUUUGCUGUCACUUAUAGAUGGAUCCGCGCCGCAUUAGCUAGUUGGUAAGGUAACGGCUUACCAAGGCAACGAUGCGUAGCCGACCUGAGAGGGUGAUCGGCCACACUGGAACUGAGACACGGUCCAGACUCCUACGGGAGGCAGCAGUAGGGAAUCUUCCGCAAUGGGCGAAAGCCUGACGGAGCAACGCCGCGUGAGUGAUGAAGGUCUUCGGAUCGUAAAACUCUGUUAUUAGGGAAGAACAAAUGUGUAAGUAACUAUGCACGUCUUGACGGUACCUGAUCAGAAAGCCACGGCUAACUACGUG